GCGUCUUUAAUCCUAAUGGUAAGGAGCUUGUCUAGAAAACAAGUAGUAAUCGUAGAAAUAUGGUGUCUUGGUUCAAGUCCAAGAAGGCGCG
RNAcentral lists this transfer RNA (91 nucleotides) under Caudoviricetes sp. RNAcentral describes it as "tRNA-Ser". It matches the Rfam family "tRNA". Rfam says of the family: Transfer RNA (tRNA) molecules are approximately 80 nucleotides in length. The record is from RNAcentral. Lineage: Duplodnaviria; Heunggongvirae; Uroviricota; Caudoviricetes.